This 223-nucleotide long non-coding RNA is filed under the name Elaeis guineensis (African oil palm). RNAcentral's name for it is "long non-coding RNA (EGUI_LNC058064)". Lineage: Eukaryota; Viridiplantae; Streptophyta; Magnoliopsida; Arecales; Arecaceae. The record is from RNAcentral.
AUUUGUAAUAGAGUUGAGGAGUUAAAUGGGUGGCUUUUAGGUUUUUUUAUACUUUUUAGCCAUUAAAAAAAAUAAUCGUAGAGUUCACUGAGGCGCUAAAGGCACUACAACAAAAAAUGAUAUUUGUAAUGCAAAAAAAAAGCAUCGCAAAUACUAAAUUUUCAUCGUAAAUAAUUAUUUGCGAUGGUAAUUUCGUCGCUAAUAAUUAGUCGCUAAAAAUGGG